Molecule: transfer RNA, 70 nt
Filed under: Camelus bactrianus (Bactrian camel)
Lineage: Eukaryota; Metazoa; Chordata; Mammalia; Artiodactyla; Camelidae
Also listed under: 2 other names
Rfam family: tRNA
About the family: Transfer RNA (tRNA) molecules are approximately 80 nucleotides in length. Their secondary structure includes four short double-helical elements and three loops (D, anti-codon, and T loops).
Source: Rfam by way of RNAcentral
GGGUAUAUCUCAGUGGUAGAGUGCUUGCCUAGCAUGCACAAGGUCUGGGGUUCAAUCCCCAGUACUGCCA